GAUGAACGCUGGCGGCGUGCCUAAUACAUGCAAGUCGAGCGAACGGACGAGAAGCUUGCUUCUCUGAUGUUAGCGGCGGACGGGUGAGUAACACGUGGAUAACCUACCUAUAAGACUGGGAUAACUUCGGGAAACCGGAGCUAAUACCGGAUAAAAUUUUGAACCGCAUGGUUCAAAAGUGAAAGACGGUCUUGCUGUCACUUAUAGAUGGAUCCGCGCUGCAUUAGCUGGUUGGUAAGGUAACGGCUUACCAAGGCAACGAUGCAUAGCCGACCUGAGAGGGUGAUCGGCCACACUGGAACUGAGACACGGUCCAGACUCCUACGGGAGGCAGCAGUAGGGAAUCUUCCGCAAUGGGCGAAAGCCUGACGGAGCAACGCCGCGUGAGUGAUGAAGGUCUUCGGAUCGUAAAACUCUGUUAUUAGGGAAGAACAUAUGUGUAAGUAACUGUGCACAUCUUGACGGUACCUAAUCAGAAAGCCACGGCUAACUACGUG
Molecule: ribosomal RNA, 497 nt
Filed under: uncultured bacterium
Lineage: Bacteria
Description: partial 16S ribosomal RNA
Rfam family: Bacterial small subunit ribosomal RNA
Source: RNAcentral